GUAGGGAAUAUUGGUAAUCUGGGAAACCGGGAACCAGCAACGCCGCGUGCGCGAUGAAGGCCUUCGGGUUGUAAAGCGCUUUUUAAAGGGAUGAGGAAGGACAGUACCUUUAGAAUAAGCCUCGGCUAACUACGUGCCAGCAGCCGCGGUAAAACGUAGGAGGCGAGCGUUAUCCGGAUUUACUGGGCGUAAAGCGUGUGCAGGCGGUUUGAUAAGUUGGAUGUGAAAGCUCCUGGCUUAACCGGGAGAGGUCGUUCAAAACUAUCAGACUAGAGAGUGGUAGAGGGAGAUGGAAUUCCGCGUGUAGUGGUGAAAUGCGUAGAUAUGCGGAGGAACACCAGUGGCGAAAGCGGUCUCCUGGCCCAUUUCUGACGCUCAGACACGAAAGCUAAGGUAGCAAACGGGAUUAGAAACCCCAGUAGUCC
This 425-nucleotide ribosomal RNA is filed under the name uncultured bacterium. RNAcentral describes it as "bacterial SSU rRNA". It matches the Rfam family "Bacterial small subunit ribosomal RNA", at positions 354 to 796 of the family's 1533-position model. The record is from RNAcentral.